Molecule: ribosomal RNA, 273 nt
Filed under: Cellulosimicrobium funkei
Lineage: Bacteria; Bacillati; Actinomycetota; Actinomycetes; Micrococcales; Promicromonosporaceae
Description: partial 16S ribosomal RNA
Rfam family: Bacterial small subunit ribosomal RNA
Source: RNAcentral
GUCUUGGGCUUCACGCAUGCUACAAUGGCCGGUACAAAGGGCUGCGAUACCGUAAGGUGGAGCGAAUCCCAAAAAGCCGGUCUCAGUUCGGAUUGGGGUCUGCAACUCGACCCCAUGAAGUCGGAGUCGCUAGUAAUCGCAGAUCAGCAACGCUGCGGUGAAUACGUUCCCGGGCCUUGUACACACCGCCCGUCAAGUCACGAAAGUCGGUAACACCCGAAGCCCAUGGCCCAACCGUUCGCGGGGGGAGUGGUCGAAGGUGGGACUGGCGAU